Molecule: ribosomal RNA, 209 nt
Filed under: uncultured bacterium
Lineage: Bacteria
Description: partial 16S ribosomal RNA
Rfam family: Bacterial small subunit ribosomal RNA
Source: RNAcentral
CGCGUAGGCGGCUUGGUAAGUCGGAUGUGAAAACCCGAGGCUCAACCUCGGGCGUGCAUCCGAUACUGCCCGGCUAGAGGUAGGUAGGGGAGAUCGGAAUUCCUGGUGUAGCGGUGAAAUGCGCAGAUAUCAGGAGGAACACCGGUGGCGAAGGCGGAUCUCUGGGCCUUACCUGACGCUCAGGCGCGAAAGCGUAAGGGGAGCGAACA